UACAGGGGGGGCAAGCGUUGUUCGGAAUUACUGGGCGUAAAGGGCUCGUAGGCGGCCGGCUAAGUCCGACGUGAAAUCCCCAGGCUUAACCUGGGAACUGCGUCGGAUACUGGCGGGCUUGAAUCCGGGAGAGGGAUGCGGAAUUCCAGGUGUAGCGGUGAAAUGCGUAGAUAUCUGGAGGAACACCGGUGGCGAAGGCGGCAUCCUGGACCGGCAUUGAUGCUGAAUAGCGAAAGCCAGGGGAGCAAACGGG
RNAcentral lists this ribosomal RNA (253 nucleotides) under uncultured bacterium. RNAcentral describes it as "partial 16S ribosomal RNA". It matches the Rfam family "Bacterial small subunit ribosomal RNA", at positions 524 to 776 of the family's 1533-position model. The record is from RNAcentral.